UACGGGGGAGGCAAGCGUUGUUCGGAAUUACUAGGCGUAAAGGGCUCGUAGGCGGCCAACUAAGUCAGACGUGAAAUCCCUCGGCUUAACCGGGGAACUGCGUCUGAUACUGGAUGGCUUGAGAUUGGAAGAGGGAUGCGGAAUUCCAGGUGUAGCGGUGAAAUGCGUAGAUAUCUGGAGGAACACCGGUGGCGAAGGCGCCACUCUGGGCCGAAACUGACGCUGAGGAGCGAAAGCGUGGGUAGCAAACAGG
RNAcentral lists this ribosomal RNA (253 nucleotides) under uncultured bacterium. RNAcentral describes it as "partial 16S ribosomal RNA". It matches the Rfam family "Bacterial small subunit ribosomal RNA", at positions 524 to 776 of the family's 1533-position model. The record is from RNAcentral.